Molecule: ribosomal RNA, 305 nt
Filed under: uncultured bacterium
Lineage: Bacteria
Description: bacterial SSU rRNA
Rfam family: Bacterial small subunit ribosomal RNA
Source: RNAcentral
UGGCCUACGGGGCGCAGCAGUGGGGAAUAUUGCACAAUGGGGGAAACCCUGAUGCAGCGACGCCGCGUGAGCGAAGAAGUAUCUCGGUAUGUAAAGCUCUAUCAGCAGGGAAGAAAAUGACGGUACCUGACUAAGAAGCCCCGGCUAACUACGUGCCAGCAGCCGCGGUAAUACGUAGGGGGCAAGCGUUAUCCGGAUUUACUGGGUGUAAAGGGAGCGCAGGCGGCGCGGUAAGUCUGAUGUGAAAGCCCGGGGCUCAACCCCGGGACUGCAUUGGAAACUGUCGGGCUAGAGUUUAGUUGCGG